GACGAACGCUGGCGGCGUGCUUAACACAUGCAAGUCGAACGGUAAGGCCCUUCGGGGUGCACGAGUGGCGAACGGGUGAGUAACACGUGGGUGAUCUGCCCUGCACUUCGGGAUAAGCCUGGGAAACUGGGUCUAAUACCGGAUAGGACUCCUGGCUUCAUGGUUGGGGGUGGAAAGCUUUUGCGGUGUGGGAUGGGCCCGCGGCCUAUCAGCUUGUUGGUGGGGUAAUGGCCUACCAAGGCGACGACGGGUAGCCGGCCUGAGAGGGUGACCGGUCACACUGGGACUGAGAUACGGCCCAGACUCCUACGGGAGGCAGCAGUGGGGAAUAUUGCACAAUGGGCGCAAGCCUGAUGCAGCGACGCCGCGUGAGGGAUGACGGCCUUCGGGUUGUAAACCUCUUUCAGCCAUGACGAAGCGCAAGUGACGGUAGUAGCAGAAGAAGGACCGGCCAACUACGUGCCAGCCGCCGCGGUAA
This 478-nucleotide ribosomal RNA is filed under the name uncultured bacterium. RNAcentral's name for it is "partial 16S ribosomal RNA". It matches the Rfam family "Bacterial small subunit ribosomal RNA", at positions 28 to 523 of the family's 1533-position model. The record is from RNAcentral.